This 729-nucleotide ribosomal RNA is filed under the name uncultured fungus. RNAcentral's name for it is "SSU rRNA". It matches the Rfam family "Eukaryotic small subunit ribosomal RNA", at positions 330 to 1063 of the family's 1831-position model. Lineage: Eukaryota; Fungi. The record is from RNAcentral.
AGGAUAGAGGCCUACCAUGGUGGUAACGGGUAACGGGGUGUUAGGGCACGACACCGGAGAGGGAGCCUGAGAAACGGCUACCACAUCCAAGGAUGGCAGCAGGCGCGCAAAUUACCCAAUCCCGACACGGGGAGGUAGUGACAAUAAAUAACAAUACGGGGUUCUUUCGGAUCUCGUAAUUGGAAUGAGUACAAUUUAAAUCUCUUAACGAGGAACAAUUGGAGGGCAAGUCUGGUGCCAGCAGCCGCGGUAAUUCCAGCUCCAAUAGCGUAUAUUAAAGUUGUUGCAGUUAAAAAGCUCGUAGUUGAAUUUCGGGGUUAGUAGGUUGGUCAUGCCUCUGGUAUGUACUGGUCUCACUGAUUCCUCCUUCCUGAUGAACCGUAAUGCCAUUAAUUUGGUGUUGCGGGGAAUUUGGACUGUUACUUUGAAAAAAUUAGAGUGUUUAAAGCAAGCUAACGCUUGAAUACAUUAGCAUGGAAUAAUGAAAUAGGACGUUCGAUCCUAUUUUGUUGGUUUCUAGGAUUGACGUAAUGAUUAAUAGGGAUAGUUGGGGGCAUUAGUAUUCAGUUGUCAGAGGUGAAAUUCUUGGAUUUAUUGAAGACUAACUACUGCGAAAGCAUUUGCCAAGGAUGUUUUCAUUAAUCAAGAACGAAAGUUAGGGGAUCGAAGACGAUCAGAUACCGUCGUAGUCUUAACCAUAAACUAUGCCGACUAGGGAUCGGAUGAUGU